GGGCUUGUAGCUCAGUUGGGAGAGCGUUCGGUUCGCAUCCGAAAGGUCGUGGGUUCAAAUCCCUUCAAGUCCACCA
RNAcentral lists this transfer RNA (76 nucleotides) under Clostridiales bacterium. RNAcentral describes it as "tRNA-Ala". It matches the Rfam family "tRNA". From Rfam's summary of the family: Transfer RNA (tRNA) molecules are approximately 80 nucleotides in length. Their secondary structure includes four short double-helical elements and three loops (D, anti-codon, and T loops). The record is from RNAcentral. Lineage: Bacteria; Bacillati; Bacillota; Clostridia; Eubacteriales.